AACACUUUGGCCGAGUGGUUAAGGCCUGCUACUACACCUCCGUACUAGCUGAUUAGCCUGUGGGUUCGCCCGCCUGGGUUAGAGUCCCAGAGGUGUCG
Molecule: non-coding RNA, 98 nt
Organism: Aspergillus brasiliensis CBS 101740
Lineage: Eukaryota; Fungi; Ascomycota; Eurotiomycetes; Eurotiales; Aspergillaceae
Source: the annotation of a GenBank genome assembly